UACGUAGGGGGCUAGCGUUGUCCGGAAUCAUUGGGCGUAAAGAGCGUGUAGGCGGUCCGGUAAGUCCGCUGUGAAAGUCGGGGGCUCAACCCUCGAAUGCCGGUGGAUACUGUCGGGCUAGAGUGCGGAAGAGGCGAGUGGAAUUCCUGGUGUAGCGGUGAAAUGCGCAGAUAUCAGGAGGAACACCAGCGGCGAAGGCGGCGCUCUGGGCCGGAACUGACGCUGAGGCGCGAAAGCGUGGGUAGCAAACAGG
Molecule: ribosomal RNA, 253 nt
Filed under: uncultured bacterium
Lineage: Bacteria
Description: partial 16S ribosomal RNA
Rfam family: Bacterial small subunit ribosomal RNA
Source: RNAcentral